This 253-nucleotide ribosomal RNA is filed under the name uncultured bacterium. RNAcentral's name for it is "partial 16S ribosomal RNA". It matches the Rfam family "Bacterial small subunit ribosomal RNA", at positions 524 to 776 of the family's 1533-position model. The record is from RNAcentral.
UACGGAGGGUGCAAGCGUUAAUCGGAAUUACUGGGCGUAAAGCGCACGCAGGCGGUUGGAUAAGUUAGAUGUUAAAGCCCCGGGCUCAACCUGGGAAUUGCAUUUAAAACUGACCAGCUAGAGUCUUGUAGAGGGGGGUAGAAUUCCAGGUGUAGCGGUGAAAUGUGUAGAGAUCUGGAGGAAUACCGGUGGCGAAGGCGGCCCCCUGGACAAAGACUGACGCUCAGGUGCGAAAGCGUGGGGAGCAAACAGG